This 274-nucleotide ribosomal RNA is filed under the name uncultured bacterium. RNAcentral describes it as "partial 16S ribosomal RNA". It matches the Rfam family "Bacterial small subunit ribosomal RNA", at positions 523 to 796 of the family's 1533-position model. The record is from RNAcentral.
AUACGAAAGGUGCAAGCGUUGUUCGGAUUUACUGGGCGUAAAGAGAUCGUAGGUGGUUUAUUAAGUCGGAUGUGAAAUCCCGGGGCUCCACCCCGGAACUGCAUUCGAUACUGGUAGACUAGAGUUCGGGAGGGGUAAGCGGAAUUCCGUGUGUAGCAGUGAAAUGCGUAGAUAUACGGAGGAACACCUGAGGCGAAGGCGGCUUACUGGACCGAUACUGACACUGAGGCUCGAAAGCGUGGGUAGCAAACAGGAUUAGAAACCCUAGUAGUCC